UUCAUCAACUUCUCUCCAAGGAAAGAAACCCAUCGCCAAGCUCCAUUUCCAAACAUUUCUUUAUCAACUUUUUUAAGAGGAAAUCGAAGGGAGAAAGUUGAGAGAAGAAGAAGAGAUCUGAAAGAUUUAGGGCUGGAGAAGUUCAAGUUUUCAAGAGGAAAUCAACACAUAAUGCAAUUUUCGUAUCAUUCAGCGCAUCUCUAGUUUUGUUUUCUUUUUUUAUUGAUUUUGAGCUGCACAAAAGGAGUUAGAAGCUUGAUUUAGAAAGACGUUUCAAUUUCUAACAAAUUUUAUGAAGGAUGCUUGCGCUAAUUAUGAUAUUAAGGGGUUUAAUUUUGAAGGAGAAUACAACCUAUUCAGCUCUGGGUGCGAAUCCGAGUAAUCUCUGGUUUUUUUAGUAGCUUAUAGUGUAGAAGAGGCGUUUGAAGCUCCAAUUGGUGAAAAUUCGGGUGGAAGCUGAGGGAUUGCUGGAAUUUGCAUUUUGGAGUACGUUCUGUUACGAGGAAAAUCUAGGCACAUCGGUUGAGAAUUAGGUCUUUAUGUCUUCAAGUAACUUGUAGAGUACUUAAAACUUUAGUGUUUGACAUAAAGUUCACUUAAUGUGGUUAAGAAUUGAGUAAGUUAUGAGCUACUGAAACUAGGUUGUGAAGAGUUUAAUUAUGUUCUUUAAGUUGGAAGUUGAAAAUGAUAUCUUUUGUAUGCUAUAGUUUGUAUGUCAUGUAAUGACUAGAAAACUUAGGGUUUUUAUAAUAGGCACCUCAAGAGUUCUAAUUUA
Molecule: long non-coding RNA, 775 nt
Organism: Cucumis sativus (cucumber)
Lineage: Eukaryota; Viridiplantae; Streptophyta; Magnoliopsida; Cucurbitales; Cucurbitaceae
Exons: 2
Source: RefSeq, a predicted model, not a curated record